AGUGAACGCUGGCGGUAGGCCUAACACAUGCAAGUCGAACGGCAGCACAGUAAGAGCUUGCUCUUACGGGUGGCGAGUGGCGGACGGGUGAGGAAUACAUCGGAAUCUACUUUUUCGUGGGGGAUAACGUAGGGAAACUUACGCUAAUACCGCAUACGGCCUACGGGUGAAAGCAGGGGAUCUUCGGACCUUGCGCGAUUGAAUGAGCCGAUGUCGGAUUAGCUAGUUGGCGGGGUAAAGGCCCACCAAGGCGACGAUCCGUAGCUGGUCUGAGAGGAUGAUCAGCCACACUGGAACUGAGACACGGUCCAGACUCCUACGGGAGGCAGCAGUGGGGAAUAUUGGACAAUGGGCGCAAGCCUGAUCCAGCCAUACCGCGUGGGUGAAGAAGGCCUUCGGGUUGUAAGGCCCUUUUGUUGGGAAAGAAAAGCAGCAGGUUAAUACCCCGCUGUUCUGACGGUACCCAAAGAAUAAGCACCGGCUAACUUCGUG
Molecule: ribosomal RNA, 492 nt
Filed under: uncultured bacterium
Lineage: Bacteria
Description: partial 16S ribosomal RNA
Rfam family: Bacterial small subunit ribosomal RNA
Source: RNAcentral